Molecule: long non-coding RNA, 541 nt
Organism: Macrobrachium nipponense
Lineage: Eukaryota; Metazoa; Arthropoda; Malacostraca; Decapoda; Palaemonidae
Exons: 4
Source: RefSeq, a predicted model, not a curated record
UGCAUGCGAGAUAGGUGCUGUAGAUUGUACCCGAGAACGCCACAAUAGACGAACAUGGUUUAAUGGUUAAUUUUCUUAUCAGAGUCAUGAACUGGAUAAAAGCGGCGUUUACCGACUGUGAACUGUGACUGACUUCAUCAGUGAACCGUCGGGUCAGCAUUCUGUUCUGUGACUUUUGUCAAGGCUUGUGUGCUAGUCAGGAGAGGACGUUAGAUUUGGACUGUCGAUUGGUUAUUAUUGGUUUGGCUGUAUGAUUUGAAAUUAAUUUUAAGAAAUAUCUGGACGGAUCGUGAUCAAAGUUACGAUUGUGAAGAGUUGAGAUAUUCUUCUUGUCAAUAGAAGUGAGAACAGUGGUUACAACACCCCAGAAUAGGAAUCUGUGCUCUUGACAGGAUUCUCACCACCCCUUAGAUGCGAUGGAUCAAAAUCUCAAAGGAUGGUUUACUGAACGAUCCCCCAUGUGGCCGGGUCAGGCGUUUUCUUUGCAAGUGAAGGAAGUUCUUUUGGAGGAAAAAAGUCCAUUCCAGAGCAUUCAGGUCUU